GUAGAUAUAGUUUAAACAAAACGUUAGAAUGUGGACCUAAAAACAGGAACUCACUUACUCCUUAUCUACCA
This 71-nucleotide transfer RNA is filed under the name Crocodylus niloticus (Nile crocodile). Its description in RNAcentral is "transfer RNA-His". It matches the Rfam family "tRNA". Rfam says of the family: Transfer RNA (tRNA) molecules are approximately 80 nucleotides in length. Their secondary structure includes four short double-helical elements and three loops (D, anti-codon, and T loops). Lineage: Eukaryota; Metazoa; Chordata; Crocodylia; Crocodylidae. The record is from RNAcentral.